Molecule: long non-coding RNA, 1835 nt
Filed under: Sus scrofa (pig)
Lineage: Eukaryota; Metazoa; Chordata; Mammalia; Artiodactyla; Suidae
Description: lncRNA (ENSSSCG00060049753.1)
Source: RNAcentral
UUUUUUCUUUUCUUUUUUUUUUUUUUGGCUGAGCCCACAGAAAUUCCCAGGCCAGGGACCAAACCCACACCAUAGCAGUGACCCCAGUCACAGCACUGACAACAACAGAUCCUUAACCACUAGGCCACUGAGGAACUCCUUCGUCAUGAUUUUGCCAACAAGUUACUGGACGACUCUGAGCAGGUCACUUCACUUCUAGAGUUCAAGAUAAAACUGUGGCUCGCUCUUCAAAAAGAACUGUGAACACCAACUGAAAGGGCAAGCAUGAAGGUGUUUUUGCAAAGUGAAAAAUGUGAGUGAGAUUGAUUAUUAAAGGAUGGUCAAUGCAUAUCUGAAAAAUGCAGGUAAGAUCACACAGAACAAAAGUAAUCUACUUCUUGGAGUUCCCGUCGUGGCGCAGUGGUUAACGAAUCCAACUAGGAACCAUGAGGUUGCAGGUUCGAUCCCUGGCCUUGCUCAGUGGGUUAACGAUCCGGCGUUGCUGUGAGCUGUGGUGUAGGUCACAGACGCAGCUCAGACCUGUUGUUGCUGUGGUGUAGGCCAGCAGCUGCAGAUCCAAUUCAAUCCCUAGCCUAGGAACUUCCUUACACCCCAGGUGCAGCCCCUAAAAAGACAAACAAACAAAACAGGAAUUCCCAUCAUGGCGCAGAGAAAACAUAUCUGGCUAGGAACCAUGAGGUUCGAUCACUGGCUUCGCUCAGUGGGUUCAGCAUCCAGUGUUGCCGUGGCUGUGGCGUAGGCCAGCAACUAUAGCUGAUUAGACCGCAGCCUGGGAAACUCCAUAUGCUGCAGGUGUGGCCCUAAAAAGCAAGUAAUAAUAAUAAUAACAAUGCGUUGUUUUUUUGGUUUUGCUUUUUUUUUUCUAACCAUUCUGACCAUUAAACUCGAGAAACACAUCUUGGAUCACCUUUGUAUCCUCUAGUGCCUAGACAGGGAGCCGAACACAGCAGGUAUUCAAUAAAGAUCUGCUAAAUUGGGUUAUGUCACACAUGUCCUCAGUAGAUACAGAGGCAAUGGGAGUAUUCAGGUGUAGCUCUAGGUUUUACCCUCAAAGUGGGUGGGAAGAGUCUUGCUUAUUGUUAACUUAGAAAAUUAGCACAUUUCUCCUCAAUUUGUUGAUUCUCUUGCUUAAUGAGUCCCCCCCUCCCCCGCAAAAAAACACCUAAAUCAAAAUUAUUGCAAGCUUUACAUGGGGGCAACAGUGAGAACUAAAGGAGAUCUUGGUUCUCCUGAGAACUAUAGUACAAAGUACACUUUUCUCCCAGGCCAAGGAAAGUCUGGUCAGUAAUUCUAUUAAUUCUAUUAAUGAAUCUAAUCAACUGACCAUCAGAAGGUGGAUUUGGGAGUGAGGGUAGGUAACAAGGAGCAUAAAAAUAAAAGAAACAGCAAAUUUCCUUGUGGGUUAAAGAUUGGGCAUUGCUGCACAGGUUGGAUUCCUGGCCCAGGAACUUCCACAUGCCGUGGAUGCAGCCAAAAAAAAAAAAGCAAAAAAGAAAAAGAGGAGUUCUCGUAGUGGCUCAGUGGUUAGCUAAUCUGACUAGGAACCAUGAGGUUGUGGGUUCGAUCCCUGGCCUUGCUCUGUGGGUUAAAAGAUCCGGCAUUGCCGUGAGCUGUGGUGUGGAUCACAGACGCGGCUCGGAUUCUGCGUUGCUGUGGCUGUGGCGUAGGCCAGUGGCUACAGCUCCGAUUCGACCCCUAGCCUGGGAGUGGCCCAAGAAAUGGCAAAAAGACAAAAAAAAAAAACUGGGGACAUGUGAAGUUGGGGCAAAUUAUGGGCAAGGAGAUACCAAAAAAACCCAAAAACAAACAAACAAACAAACAAACAAAAAAAGAAU